GACGAACGCUGGCGGCGUGCUUAACACAUGCAAGUCGAACGGAAAGGUCCUGCUUUUGUGGUGUGCUCGAGUGGCGAACGGGUGAGUAACAAGUGAGUAACCUGCCCUUGCCUUUGGGAUAACUUCAGGAAACUGGGGCUAAUACCGGCUAGGAGCUCCUGCUGCAUGGUGGGGGUUGGAAAGUUUCGGCGGUUGGGGAUGGACUCGCGGCUUAUCAGCUUGUUGGUGGGGUAGUGGCUUACCAAGGCUUUGACGGGUAGCCGGCCUGAGAGGGUGACCGGCCACAUUGGGACUGAGGUACGGCCCAGACGCCUACGGGAGGCAGCAGUGGGGAAUAUUACAGAGUGGUCGGAAGCCUGAUGCAGCAACGCCGCGUGCGGGAUGACCGCCUUCGAGUUGUAAACCGCUUUCGCCUGUGACGAAGCGUGAGUGACGGUAAUGGGUAAAGAAGCACCGGCUAACUACGUG
Molecule: ribosomal RNA, 468 nt
Filed under: uncultured bacterium
Lineage: Bacteria
Description: partial 16S ribosomal RNA
Rfam family: Bacterial small subunit ribosomal RNA
Source: RNAcentral